CCUACGGGUGGCAGCAGUGAGGAAUAUUGGUCAAUGGGCGUAAGCCUGAACCAGCCAAGUCGCGUGAGGGAUGAAGGUUCUAUGGAUCGUAAACCUCUUUUAUAAGGGAAUAAAGGGCGGGACGUGACCCGUGUUGUAGGUACCUUAGGAAUAAGGAAUGGGUAACUCCGUGCCAGCAGCCGCGGGAAUACGGAGGAUGCGAGCGUUAUCCGGAUUUAUUUGGUGUAAAGGGUGCGCAGGCGGGGGGGCAAGUCAGCGGUCAAAUUGCGGGGCUCAACCCCGUACUGCCGUUGAAACUGCAUCCCUUGAGUGCGCGAGAAGUAUGCGGAAUGCGUGGUGUAGCGGUGAAAUGCAUAGAUAUCACGCAGAACUCCGAUUGCGAAGGCAGCAUACCGGCGCGCAACUGACGCUCAUGCACGAAAGCGUGGGUAUCGAACAGGAUUAGAUACCCCUGUAGUC
RNAcentral lists this ribosomal RNA (459 nucleotides) under uncultured bacterium. RNAcentral describes it as "partial 16S ribosomal RNA". It matches the Rfam family "Bacterial small subunit ribosomal RNA", at positions 338 to 795 of the family's 1533-position model. The record is from RNAcentral.